GUGCUCACUUCAGCAGCUCAUGUACCAUAAUUGGAGCGCUCCAGAGAUUAGCAUGGCCCCUGUGCAAAGAAGACACACAAAAAAGAUAUUUCUCCUUUACUUCU
Small nuclear RNA from Pteronotus mesoamericanus, 104 nucleotides. The record is from RefSeq and is a predicted model, not a curated record. NCBI's taxonomy places the organism in Eukaryota, Metazoa, Chordata, Mammalia, Chiroptera, Mormoopidae.